Molecule: ribosomal RNA, 468 nt
Filed under: uncultured bacterium
Lineage: Bacteria
Description: partial 16S ribosomal RNA
Rfam family: Bacterial small subunit ribosomal RNA
Source: RNAcentral
GACGAACGCUGGCGGCGUGCUUAACACAUGCAAGUCGAACGGAAAGGCCCUGCUUUUGUGGGGUGCUCGAGUGGCGAACGGGUGAGUAACACGUGAGUAACCUGCCCUUGACUUUGGGAUAACUUCAGGAAACUGGGGCUAAUACCGGAUAAGAGCUCCUGCUGCAUGGUGGGGGUUGGAAAGUUUCGGCGGUUGGGGAUGGACUCGCGGCUUAUCAGCUUGUUGGUGGGGUAGUGGCUUACCAAGGCUUUGACGGGUAGCCGGCCUGAGAGGGUAACCGGCCACAUUGGGACUGAGAUACGGCCCAGACUCCUACGGGAGGCAGCAGUGGGGAAUAUUGCACAAUGGGCGGAAGCCUGAUGCAGCAACGCCGCGUGCGGGAUGACGGCCUUCGGGUUGUAAACCGCUUUCGCCUGUGACGAAGCGUGAGUGACGGUAAUGGGUAAAGAAGCACCGGCUAACUACGUG